GUUGUAGACAUUUUAUCUGAAGAAGAAUGAUGGAGAAUGUCUACAGUAGAAUGAUUGGGAUGGUAGAAAGUUUGUGAACUUCAAAUCUUUUACAAAAGGGAAGCCUAAAGUGGGUAUCACCACCACAGGGAUAAGUGUGCACUGCUCAAGUGUACCGUUAGAAGACAUGACUUCAGUGUACCCUUCUUCACAACUGCAUGUCCUCAUCUGCAGGAGAACAAGAGGAUUUCUACUAUCCAUAGAAGGAAGACUUUGAAAAAACAAAGAGAAAUUGGAAGUUUACCUGUUACAUUUAUACCGUCUGACCUUUGACACCAGACUGUUCGGGAAGAACCCUUCCAAGCACUGGCCAUCCAUUUAUACUCAUAACACUGUCCAUCUGCAGGGA
Long non-coding RNA from Ailuropoda melanoleuca (giant panda), 388 nucleotides. RefSeq lists it as uncharacterized. The record is from RefSeq and is a predicted model, not a curated record. The transcript is spliced from 3 exons. NCBI's taxonomy places the organism in Eukaryota, Metazoa, Chordata, Mammalia, Carnivora, Ursidae.